CCUGCGGAAGGAUCAUUACCGAGUGCGGGCCCUCGUGGCCCAACCUCCCACCCUUGUCUCUCUACACCUGUUGCUUUGGCGGGCCCACUGGGGCUCCCUGGUCGCCGGGGGACGCCUGUCCCCGGGCCCGCGCCCGCCGAAGCGCUUCGUGAACCCUGAUGAAGAAGGGCUGUCUGAGUACUAUGAAAAUUGUCAAAACUUUCAACAAUGGAUCUCUUGGUUCCGGCAUCGAUGAAGAACGCAGCGAAAUGCGAUAAGUAAUGUGAAUUGCAGAAUUCCGUGAAUCAUCGAAUCUUUGAACGCACAUUGCGCCCCCUGGCAUUCCGGGGGGCAUGCCUGUCCGAGCGUCAUUUCUGCCCUCAAGCACGGCUUGUGUGUUGGGUGUGGUCCCCCCGGGGACCUGCCCGAAAGGCAGCGGCGACGUCCGUCUGGUCCUCGAGCGUAUGGGGCUCUGUCACUCGCUCGGGAAGGACCUGCGGGGGUUGGUCACCACCACAUUUUCCAUUAUGGUUGACCUCGGAUCAGGUAGGAGUUACCCGCUGAACUUAAGCAUAUCAAUAAGCGGAGGAA
Molecule: ribosomal RNA, 570 nt
Filed under: Talaromyces funiculosus
Lineage: Eukaryota; Fungi; Ascomycota; Eurotiomycetes; Eurotiales; Trichocomaceae
Description: eukaryotic LSU rRNA
Rfam family: 5.8S ribosomal RNA (bases 197-350)
Source: RNAcentral